This 484-nucleotide ribosomal RNA is filed under the name uncultured bacterium. Its description in RNAcentral is "partial 16S ribosomal RNA". It matches the Rfam family "Bacterial small subunit ribosomal RNA", at positions 30 to 507 of the family's 1533-position model. The record is from RNAcentral.
AUUGAACGCUGGCGGCAGGCCUAACACAUGCAAGUCGAGCGGAUGAAGGGAGCUUGCUCCUGGAUUCAGCGGCGGACGGGUGAGUAAUGCCUAGGAAUCUGCCUGGUCGUGGGGGAUAACGUCCGGAAACGGGCGCUAAUACCGCAUACGUCCUGAGGGAGAAAGUGGGGGAUCUUCGGACCCCACGCUAUCAGAUGAGCCUAGGUCGGAUUAGCUAGUUGGUGGGGUAAAGGCCUACCAAGGCGACGAUCCGUAACUGGUCUGAGAGGAUGAUCAGUCACACUGGAACUGAGACACGGUCCAGACUCCUACGGGAGGCAGCAGUGGGGAAUAUUGGACAAUGGGCGAAAGCCUGAUCCAGCCAUGCCGCGUGUGUGAAGAAGGUCUUCGGAUUGUAAAGCACUUUAAGUUGGGAGGAAGGGCAGUAAGUUAAUACCUUGCUGUUUUGACGUUACCAACAGAAUAAGCACCGGCUAACUUCGUG